RNAcentral lists this ribosomal RNA (2891 nucleotides) under Acinetobacter baumannii 1045092. RNAcentral's name for it is "bacterial LSU rRNA". It matches the Rfam family "Bacterial large subunit ribosomal RNA". Lineage: Bacteria; Pseudomonadati; Pseudomonadota; Gammaproteobacteria; Moraxellales; Moraxellaceae. The record is from RNAcentral.
UCAAGUAAUUAAGUGCAUGUGGUGGAUGCCUUGGCAGUCAGAGGCGAUGAAAGACGUGAUAGCCUGCGAAAAGCUCCGGGGAGGCGGCAAAUAUCCUUUGAUCCGGAGAUGUCUGAAUGGGGGAACCCACCUACUUUAAGGUAGGUAUUGCAACAUGAAUACAUAGUGUUGCAAGGCGAACGAGGGGAAGUGAAACAUCUCAGUACCCUUAGGAAAAGAAAUCAAUUGAGAUUCCCUCAGUAGCGGCGAGCGAACGGGGAUCAGCCCAUUAAGUUAUGUGUGUUUUAGUGGAACGCUCUGGGAAGUGCGAACGUAGAGGGUGAUAUUCCCGUACACGAAAGGGCACACAUAAUGAUGACGAGUAGGGCGAGGCACGUGAAACCUUGUCUGAAUAUGGGGGGACCAUCCUCCAAGGCUAAAUACUCCUGACUGACCGAUAGUGAACCAGUACCGUGAGGGAAAGGCGAAAAGAACCCCUGUGAGGGGAGUGAAAUAGAUCCUGAAACCGCAUGCAUACAAGCAGUGGGAGCACCUUCGUGGUGUGACUGCGUACCUUUUGUAUAAUGGGUCAGCGACUUAUAUUCAGUAGCGAGGUUAACCGUAUAGGGGAGCCGUAGAGAAAUCGAGUCUUAAUAGGGCGUUUAGUUGCUGGGUAUAGACCCGAAACCAGGCGAUCUAUCCAUGAGCAGGUUGAAGGUUGGGUAACACUAACUGGAGGACCGAACCCACUGUCGUUGAAAAGCCAGGGGAUGACUUGUGGAUAGGGGUGAAAGGCUAAUCAAGCCUGGUGAUAGCUGGUUCUCCCCGAAAGCUAUUUAGGUAGCGCCUCGGACGAAUACCAUAGGGGGUAGAGCACUGUUUCGGCUAGGGGGUCAUCCCGACUUACCAAACCGAUGCAAACUCCGAAUACCUAUGAGUACUAUCCGGGAGACAGACUGCGGGUGCUAACGUCCGUAGUCAAGAGGAAAACAAUCCAGACCGCCAGCUAAGGCCCCAAAAUCAUAGUUAAGUGGGAAACGAUGUGGGAAGGCAUAGACAGCUAGGAGGUUGGCUUAGAAGCAGCCACCCUUUAAAGAAAGCGUAAUAGCUCACUAGUCGAGUCGGCCUGCGCGGAAGAUGUAACGGGGCUAAAACUAUGUGCCGAAGCUGCGGAUGUAUACUUUGUAUACGUGGUAGGGGAGCGUUCUGUAAGCCGAUGAAGGUGUGUUGAGAAGCAUGCUGGAGGUAUCAGAAGUGCGAAUGCUGACGUGAGUAACGACAAAACGGGUGAAAAACCCGUUCGCCGAAAGACCAAGGGUUCCAGUCCAACGUUAAUCGGGGCUGGGUGAGUCGACCCCUAAGGCGAGGCCGAAAGGCGUAGUCGAUGGGAAAAUGGUUAAUAUUCCAUUACUUCUGUGUAAUGCGAUGAGAGGACGGAGAAGGCUAAAUCAGCCUGGCGUUGGUUGUCCAGGUGAAAGGAUGUAGGCAUGUAUCUUAGGCAAAUCCGGGGUACUCUAUGCUGAGAUCUGAUAGCAAGCUGUACUUGUACAGCGAAGUGGUUGAUGCCAUGCUUCCAGGAAAAGUCUCUAAGCUUCAGUUACACAGGAAUCGUACCCGAAACCGACACAGGUGGUCAGGUCGAGUAGACCAAGGCGCUUGAGAGAACUCUGCUGAAGGAACUAGGCAAAAUGGUACCGUAACUUCGGGAGAAGGUACGCUGUUGUUGGUGAUGGAACUCGCUUCCUGAGCUGACGACAGCCGCAGAAACCAGGCCGCUGCAACUGUUUAUUAAAAACAUAGCACUCUGCAAACACGAAAGUGGACGUAUAGGGUGUGAUGCCUGCCCGGUGCUGGAAGGUUAAUUGAUGGGGUUAGCGUAAGCGAAGCUCUUGAUCGAAGCCCCAGUAAACGGCGGCCGUAACUAUAACGGUCCUAAGGUAGCGAAAUUCCUUGUCGGGUAAGUUCCGACCUGCACGAAUGGCAUAAUGAUGGCGGCGCUGUCUCCAGCAGAGGCUCAGUGAAAUCGAAAUCGCUGUGAAGAUGCAGUGUACCCGCGGCUAGACGGAAAGACCCCGUGAACCUUUACUGCAGCUUGACACUGAACUUUGACCUUACUUGUGUAGGAUAGGUGGGAGGCUUUGAAGCUGGAACGCUAGUUCCAGUGGAGCCGUCCUUGAAAUACCACCCUGGUAAUGUUGAGGUUCUAACUCUGUCCCGUGAUCCGGGACGAGGACCGUGUCUGGUGGGUAGUUUGACUGGGGCGGUCUCCUCCUAAAGAGUAACGGAGGAGUACGAAGGUGCGCUCAGCGUGGUCGGAAAUCACGCGUAGAGUAUAAAGGCAAAAGCGCGCUUAACUGCGAGACCCACAAGUCGAGCAGGUACGAAAGUAGGUCUUAGUGAUCCGGUGGUUCUGUAUGGAAGGGCCAUCGCUCAACGGAUAAAAGGUACUCUGGGGAUAACAGGCUGAUACCGCCCAAGAGUUCAUAUCGACGGCGGUGUUUGGCACCUCGAUGUCGGCUCAUCUCAUCCUGGGGCUGAAGCAGGUCCCAAGGGUAUGGCUGUUCGCCAUUUAAAGAGGUACGCGAGCUGGGUUUAGAACGUCGUGAGACAGUUCGGUCCCUAUCUACCGUGGGCGCUGGAAAUUUGAGAGGAUCUGCUCCUAGUACGAGAGGACCAGAGUGGACGAACCUCUGGUGUACCGGUUGUGACGCCAGUCGCAUCGCCGGGUAGCUAUGUUCGGAAGGGAUAACCGCUGAAAGCAUCUAAGCGGGAAGCCUACCUCAAGAUAAGAUUUCCCUAGGACUUUAUGUCCUCUAAAGAGCCGUUCGAGACUAGGAUGUUGAUAGGUUGGAUGUGGAAGCAUAGUGAUAUGUGAAGCUGACCAAUACUAAUUGCUCGUGAGGCUUGACUAU